RNAcentral lists this ribosomal RNA (423 nucleotides) under uncultured bacterium. RNAcentral's name for it is "bacterial SSU rRNA". It matches the Rfam family "Bacterial small subunit ribosomal RNA", at positions 358 to 773 of the family's 1533-position model. The record is from RNAcentral.
GGAAUUUUGGACAAUGGGCGCAAGCCUGAUCCAGCAAUGCCGCGUGAGUGAAGAAGGCCUUCGGGUUGUAAAGCUCUUUUGUCAGGGAAGAAACGGCUGUGGCUAAUAUCCACGGCUAAUGACGGUACCUGAAGAAUAAGCACCGGCUAACUACGUGCCAGCAGCCGCGGUAAUACGUAGGGUGCAAGCGUUAAUCGGAAUUACUGGGCGUAAAGCGUGCGCAGGCGGUUUUGUAAGUCUGUCGUGAAAUCCCCGGGCUCAACCUGGGAAUUGCGAUGGAGACUGCAAGGCUAGAAUCUGGCAGAGGGGGGUAGAAUUCCACGUGUAGCAGUGAAAUGCGUAGAGAUGUGGAGGAACACCGAUGGCGAAGGCAGCCCCCUGGGUCAAGAUUGACGCUCAUGCACGAAAGCGUGGGGAGCAAAC